Molecule: non-coding RNA, 82 nt
Organism: Cryphonectria parasitica EP155
Lineage: Eukaryota; Fungi; Ascomycota; Sordariomycetes; Diaporthales; Cryphonectriaceae
Source: the annotation of a RefSeq genome assembly
GGCGCGAUGGCGGAGUGGUCUAACGCGAUAGACUAGAAAUCUAUUCUCUUCGGAGGCGUCUGUUCAAAUCAGGCUCGCGUCG